GUACCUUGGGUGCGACUGGGCGGAGGUGACUUGGAAGUUCGCUUCUCGGACUGUAAUACUCAUCCUUACCUGGCGCCCCGCUCCGAGUUUAGUUGCAUCUGAUCAAACUGAGGUGGUCUGGUAAAAGUAUAAAAAGCAUGGGCUAAAAAAGAAAGAAAAACAACGGGGCGCAGUGGCUCACGCCUGUAAUCCCAGCACUUUGGGAGGCCAAGGUGGGCGGAUCACCCAAGGUCAAGAGUUCGAGUCCACCCUGGCCAAUAUGGCAAAAC
RNAcentral lists this long non-coding RNA (269 nucleotides) under Homo sapiens (human). RNAcentral's name for it is "HSALNT0104038". The record is from RNAcentral. Lineage: Eukaryota; Metazoa; Chordata; Mammalia; Primates; Hominidae.